This 539-nucleotide ribosomal RNA is filed under the name uncultured marine bacterium. Its description in RNAcentral is "bacterial SSU rRNA". It matches the Rfam family "Bacterial small subunit ribosomal RNA", at positions 56 to 643 of the family's 1533-position model. The record is from RNAcentral.
UGCAAGUCGAGCGGUCCUUCGGGACAGCGGCGAACGGGUUAGUAACGCGUGGGAACGUGCCCUUUAGUACGGAAUAGCCAUUGGAAACGAUGAUUAAUACCGUAUACGCCCCAAGGGGGAAAGAUUUAUCGCUAAAGGAUCGGCCCGCGUUAGAUUAGGUAGUUGGUAGGGUAAUGGCCUACCAAGCCGACGAUCUAUAGCUGGUUUGAGAGGAUGAUCAGCAACACUGGGACUGAGACACGGCCCAGACUUCUACGGAAGGCAGCAGUAGGGAAUCUUGGACAAUGGGCGAAAGCCUGAUCCAGCCAUGCCGCGUGAGUGAUGAAGGCCCUAGGGUUGUAAAGCUCUUUCGCCAGGGAAGAUAAUGACGGUACCUGGUAAAGAAACCCCGGCUAACUCCGUGCCAGCAGCCGCGGUAAUACGGAGGGGGUUAGCGUUGUUCGGAAUUACUGGGCGUAAAGCGCACGUAGGCGGAUCAAUAAGUCAGGGGUGAAAUCCCGAGGCUCAACCUCGGAACUGCCUUUGAUACUGUUGGUCUU